Molecule: ribosomal RNA, 285 nt
Filed under: Triticum aestivum (bread wheat)
Lineage: Eukaryota; Viridiplantae; Streptophyta; Magnoliopsida; Poales; Poaceae
Description: partial small subunit ribosomal RNA
Source: RNAcentral
AUGGCUCUCGCUCUCUCCGGCUCCGCUGCUGCCCGCGCGCUCGCCCAGCGGCUGGCCCCGGCCACCAGGGGCUACGCGGCGGCGGCCUCCUCCGGGGCGAUGAGGCGCGGCGCCGCGGCGGCCGCGGACGGGAAGGCGGCCAGGGAGGCCGAGAAGGCCGCGGCCGACGCCUCGUGGGUGCCCGACCCCGUCACCGGCCACUACCGCCCCGCCAACCGCGCCGUCGGCGCCGACCCCGCCGACCUCCGCGCCGCGCACCUCGGGCAGACCUACGCACGGGCUUGA